AGCGAACGCUGGCGGCAGGCUUAACACAUGCAAGUCGAGCGGGCACCUUUCGGGGUGUCAGCGGCGGACGGGUGAGUAACGCGUGGGAACGUGCCCUCUGGUUCGGAAUAACUCAGGGAAACUUGAGCUAAUACCGGAUACGCCCUUUUGGGGAAAGGCUUGCUGCCGGAGGAUCGGCCCGCGUCUGAUUAGCUAGUUGGUGAGGUAACGGCUCACCAAGGCGACGAUCAGUAGCUGGUCUGAGAGGAUGAUCAGCCACACUGGGACUGAGACACGGCCCAGACUCCUACGGGAGGCAGCAGUGGGGAAUAUUGGACAAUGGGCGCAAGCCUGAUCCAGCCAUGCCGCGUGAGUGAUGAAGGCCUUAGGGUUGUAAAGCUCUUUUAUCCGGGACGAUAAUGACGGUACCGGAGGAAUAAGCCCCGGCUAACUGCGU
RNAcentral lists this ribosomal RNA (436 nucleotides) under uncultured bacterium. RNAcentral's name for it is "partial 16S ribosomal RNA". It matches the Rfam family "Bacterial small subunit ribosomal RNA", at positions 29 to 506 of the family's 1533-position model. The record is from RNAcentral.